GGUAAUCAGUAGCACUGAAGGAGUCAAAAUAUUCUGAAGAAAAGAACUGAUGUACUCUCAGCCAAGCCCACACAAAACAGUGCCUGAAGGUUGUACGCUGCUCCAGACCCAUUCAUGUGGCCAGCCAAGUGCUGAGAGGCAGCAGCCAUUUCUCCAAUGAGGAUUCUGAGCUCUGAAGAUCCCUCCUUCCUCACUCAGCAAGUAAACUGAGAGCUCUGUCCAUGUUUCUUCUGCAUGUGCUCCUGUGGUUGAAGGGAAGUGUCCUCUUAUCUACCUGGAAAAUAGAAGGAGAAUGAAGGUGCAAGAUCAGUUUAGAAGACCUGACAUUCUCAGAGCUGAGGUCAUCAGUCUUCUCCACAACUGACAAUAAAGAUGGAUUAGUAGUCAACUGGAGUACCAAAGCCUCUUGACAGUUUGAAAGUCUAUUGACUAUCCAGAUUAAAAAGAAAACUGUGUCCAGGCAAGAAAUUCUUAUGCAUGUGCAGAUCACACUGUUUGUACCUAGGAAUUAAAAGAACAGUAACUACUGUUCAAAACCUAAA
This is a non-coding RNA of Lonchura striata (white-rumped munia), 542 nucleotides long. Lineage: Eukaryota; Metazoa; Chordata; Aves; Passeriformes; Estrildidae. The record is from RefSeq and is a predicted model, not a curated record.